Long non-coding RNA from Tupaia belangeri chinensis (Chinese tree shrew), 2275 nucleotides. RefSeq lists it as uncharacterized. The record is from RefSeq and is a predicted model, not a curated record. NCBI's taxonomy places the organism in Eukaryota, Metazoa, Chordata, Mammalia, Scandentia, Tupaiidae. The transcript is spliced from 4 exons.
UGUACUCCUUAAAGGUCUUAAACUUCUCAUGUCCCCUUUAGAGAGCAGACAGGAGGGCUGGCAGAGGGUGGGAAUCAUGUGGCCAUAGGAACAUGUUUUACCCACCUUUACAGUUAGGCCAGGAGUCCCUAGGGGUCCCAGGGAAAGGCCUGAGGGUCCUGGGGAGAAGGUGUCUGGAAAUGCAGGAAGAGGGCCUCCUGGGCAGGUGCAGCUAAACAUCUUCCAAGGGCAGCCUGAGCCCAGGGAACAGAGUGUGGGCAUGAUUAUGCCAGGGGAAACAAGCCUUGGGAAGAUGCUGGUUUGGCAGGUAGAGCUGCUGGAACUGGGACAUCCAGCCUUCUGCACAAGGUCUGGCUCUGGGGCUCAAGACCUUCCUGCUUCCUUCCUUUUCCAGAAUCCCUCCUUGCACAGAGCAGUAGCAGCUCUUGGGCUGCGCUGGCUGGGACUAUGGGAAGGCAGAAACUGGCUUGGCAGAACCCAGGGCUGAGAACAAUGGUGACAGGUAGCGUGGCCAAGGAUCACCCUGACCAGAACACUCCUCUCAACAAGCACUUCAUCACCUGGUCCCCUUGACCACAGCCGCUAUUUGAGGCCCAUUGUUGGCUUCAAGACAUCUGAUGUCACAGUGGACAAUAAGCUGUUGCCAGUGGCAAAGGAGGGGUCAAAAGUUGCACCCAAACUUUGGACCACCUGCUCCCCACCUUCAGCUUACAGUGCACUGGGCCAAACAAAGACCUAUGUCAAGUGUAGUUUUUGGAUGGGAUGCUGGAACACAGCCAGCACGGACUCCAGAGGUGGCUAAGGGUCAAAGAGGAAAAAAGGACCUUUCUGAGGUGAUGAAAAGCUGGUAUCUUGAUGAGAUGGUGGUUACAUCAUACACAUCUGCCAAAACCCACUUAAUGCUUCAAAUCGAUACAUUUAUUAUCCUGUACUUUAUGUCUCAAUGAAAAUUAUUAAAAGAAAAAACAAAACCGACUGAGUCAGCCCACCAGUCUUCUACAGCAAGACCCUAAGACAAAAGAUCAGCCUCUGCCCCACGACUCUGCAGCAGGUAGCCUCCACUGCCCCCUGAUUCCAAAUGCUGGGCACUGGGAAAAUCCACGGGAUUUGAAAUUCCAUAGGAAUAAGUCUAUCUACUUAGUUUCAAAAGGUUCACAGAAAGACGAAAUUAAAGUGUGAAUUUAUUUUGGUGUAAAAAAAAAUUAAAAUGCAUGAAGUUUUUUCAUAAUACACAUAUUCAAUGAACUUUCUGAAGCCUCCUGACUCUUUAAUAUUAUUUACAUUUUCACAGGUUCUGCCAAGGUUCAGGAUUUUGAAAGCCCUGCCCUGUACGGAUCCACAAGUGCAGGGAUCCAUGGGUCCCAACAGACCAUUUUGUCCCCCACUAUUGAUGAGCAACCUAAGUCUGAAUUGUCUACAAUGUCCACAGUUCCAUGGUCCCCUUUUAAUGGAUAUGCUAUUAAACACAAGUUCCUGUCUUCGUCUUCUUCAAAACGCACGGAUACUACACCUGGAAGGCGGUUUCUAUGUUGCCAGAGGCCCCAAACUCAUCUGCAAACCUAACAAAUAUCAAAACAGCUAGAAAAGAUGACACCACACAAGACAAGCGAUUAGGGAGCAGACAUGGCCGAGAGUCUUCCUCUCUGAUGCACUCAACAAGGCAAGAACCAAAGAAUUACAAGACACAUUUUUCUGUCAUUGAAAAUGUUUAUUAAUAUUUAUGUAACCCUUCUAAUCCCAAGAGAGAUGUAAAAACAUUGCUCUUUAUAUUGUAUGGGAAUUCUUAACACCCUACACAGAAACACCGACGGCCUUGAGGCCUGCUUUAAAGCAGAGCCCGACGCAAGGGGAACACCAGUUUGCCUAGGUGUGAGACGCAUCCCGUGGUAAGGGAAGAGUGGGUAAGCAAAGCAAAAUAAAGGGCAAACAAAACAGACCACACAGCACAACAGACACCCUAGCAAAGGCUUCCUGCAGUACCCCCAUAUGGGGAUUAGGGGUGCCCAGCCUUUUUUCCUUCUUAAAUAUGUUUUUAUUGGUCUUUGCAGUCUCAUGUCACAAAUGAAUAAAAUGAACGCAGGCAGGUGGGGCUGGGCGGGGAGCACGGACACGCGGUGGCCUUGAAAGCAGCUCUCACCCUCGAGUCUCUAGAACCUGCCAUGUGUAUAAUUAGACAGUCUUUCUGGAGAGGGCUGUCAGGCGGGACAUUUCAGCAGGUGCCGACGAGCGCCUUACAACAGACCGGCUGAACACCUCUCCUCCCAGGCCUCUUUGC